UCGUUGUUGAAAUACCACCCUUGGAUUACUUGAUAUCUAAUCCGCCAAAAGCGGAGACAUUGUGUGGUGGGUAGUUUGACUGGGGUGGUCGCCUCCAAAAGAGUAACGGAGGCUUCUAAAGGUACCCUCAGCACGCUUGGUAACCGUGCGCAGAGUAUAAUGGCAUAAGGGUGCUUGACUGGGAGACUUACAAGUCGAUCAGGUACGAAAGUAGAGCAUAGUGAUCCGGUGGUUCCGUAUGGAAGGGCCAUCGCUCAAAGGAUAAAAGGUACUCCGGGGAUAACAGGCUGAUUCCUCCCAAGAGUCCACAUCGACGGAGGAGUUUGGCACCUCGAUGUCGGCUCAUCACAUCCUGGGGCUG
Molecule: ribosomal RNA, 361 nt
Filed under: Karlodinium veneficum
Lineage: Eukaryota; Dinophyceae; Gymnodiniales; Kareniaceae
Description: partial Bacterial large subunit ribosomal RNA
Rfam family: Bacterial large subunit ribosomal RNA
Source: RNAcentral